Molecule: ribosomal RNA, 1597 nt
Filed under: Chaetothyriales sp. MP-2014
Lineage: Eukaryota; Fungi; Ascomycota; Eurotiomycetes; Chaetothyriales
Description: eukaryotic LSU rRNA
Rfam family: Eukaryotic large subunit ribosomal RNA (bases 677-1597)
Source: RNAcentral
AUGGCUCAGUGAGGCCUUGGGAUUGGCCAGGGGAGAUGGGCGACCAUCACCCCAGGCCGAAAACUUGGUCAAACUUGGUCAUUUAGAGGAAGUAAAAGUCGUAACAAGGUUUCCGUAGGUGAACCUGCGGAAGGAUCAUUACCGAGUUAGGGUCCGCCUCUCCGGGCGCCCGACCUCCCAACCCUUUGUCUAAUUUACCUUGUCGUUGCUUCGGCGGACCGGUUGACCAACUGGUCUUGACCGCCGGGGGUGUCACCACCCCGGGAGAGCGUCCGCCGACGGCCCAACCACAAAACUCUUGUACCAAACCAUGUCGUCUGAAUUAUACUUGAUUAAAAUCAAAAAAACAAAACUUUCAACAACGGAUCUCUUGGUUCUGGCAUCGAUGAAGAACGCAGCGAAAUGCGAUAAGUAAUGCGAAUUGCAGAAUUUCCGUGAGUCAUCGAAUCUUUGAACGCACAUUGCGCCCACUGGUAUUCCGGUGGGCAUGCCUGUUCGAGCGUCAUUAUCCUCCCUCAAACCCCGGGUUUGGUGUUGGACCCACGUUGUGAGUGAACAACUGGUCCCAAAGACAAUGACGGCGUCCGUGGGACCCUCGGUGCAACGAGCUUUCCGGAGCACGCGUCGAGUUUCAAGGUUCUUCCGGGCCGGUCUCCUUCUAUUUUACUUCUAAGGUUGACCUCGGAUCAGGUAGGAAUACCCGCUGAACUUAAGCAUAUCAAUAAGCGGAGGAAAAGAAACCAACAGGGAUUGCCUCAGUAACGGCGAGUGAAGCGGCAACAGCUCAAAUUUGAAAUCUGGCCUUACGGUCCGAGUUGUAAUUUGUAGAGGAUGUUUUGGGUACCGCCGCGGUUUAAAUUUCUUGGAACAGAAUGUCAAAGAGGGUGAGAGUCCCGUCUUGGAUCGCGGUAGGGCCUGUGUAAAACUCCUUCGACGAGUCGACUUGUUUGGGAAUGCAGGUCAAAAUGGGUGGUAAAUUUCAUCUAAAGCUAAAUAUUGGCCAGAGACCGAUAGCGCACAAGUAGAGUGAUCGAAAGAUGAAAAGCACUUUGAAAAGAGAGUUAAACAGUAUGUGAAAUUGUUGAAAGGGAAGCGCUGGCAAUCAGACUCGUGCGCGGGGUUCCCCCUUGCUUCUGCUUGGGUCACUUCCCCGUGUCCGGGCCAUCAUCAGUUUUGGGGGUCGGUUAAAGGCCCCGGGAAUGUACCUACUCCUCCGGGGGUAGACUUAUAGCCCGGGGUGUCAUGCGACCACCCGGGACUGAGGAACGCGCUUCGGCGAGGAUGAUGGCGUAAUGGUUGUCAGCGACCCGUCUUGAAACACGGACCAAGGAGUCUAACAUCUAUGCGAGUGUUCGGGUGUCAAACCCUUGCGCGGAAUGAAAGUGAACGGAGGUAGGAAGGCUCACGCCUGCACUAUCGACCGAUCCUGAUGUCUUCGGAUGGAUUUGAGUAAGAGCAUAGCUGUUGGGACCCGAAAGAUGGUGAACUAUGCGUGAAUAGGGUGAAGCCAGAGGAAACUCUGGUGGAGGCUCGCAGCGGUUCUGACGUGCAAAUCGAUCGUCAAAUUUGCGUAUAGGGGCGAAAGACUAAUCGAACC